AAAACCCCCUCACAGAUAAUGUGGUAUUGGUAGAAGUGAACGGUACUUACAUUACCUUGUCUCACUCUGCUGAAAUGAAUAGGCCAGAGAAGUGGACCCAUGGUAAUUGACUCCAGGAGUGUUUUUCAAUGCUAAACUAGUCUUUACCCAAGUCAAGUUCUGAGCUACCGGACCCCCAUUAAGUCCAAAACAGAGU
This 196-nucleotide unclassified non-coding RNA is filed under the name uncultured Tuberaceae. RNAcentral describes it as "sequence contains ITS2". Lineage: Eukaryota; Fungi; Ascomycota; Pezizomycetes; Pezizales; Tuberaceae. The record is from RNAcentral.